This 499-nucleotide small RNA is filed under the name Oryza sativa Japonica Group (Japanese rice). RNAcentral describes it as "sRNA Os04g0462700". The record is from RNAcentral. Lineage: Eukaryota; Viridiplantae; Streptophyta; Magnoliopsida; Poales; Poaceae.
AAAGAAAGAAAAAAAAAAAGGAGAACAGAGCUCGCAGAGGAACUUGCCGCCGCCGGUACCUAGCCGCUCGUGCCACCCAGCUAGGCAUGUUCGCCGCCGUCGGUGCAGCGAGUCCAGCGGCCGGGAGGGUGUUGUGGCUACUCGGAUCUGGCAGGCCCGAGCUUCUAACCUCUGAAUUUGGCGAAAAAAAAAAGGUGAGUAGGAGAUGGAUUUGAGGUAGCUGUCCGUGGCGGCGAGGGUGUCCGCGCAGCGACGAGCUCAAGCCGGCGAGGAAGGUGGUGCCGCUGGCGACGGCGACGAGCUCAAGCCAAGCUCAUGCUUCGACAUCUCUGUGCAGGUAGAUCUGGCAGUGGCGAGCUCAUGCCCUCCGGAUCCGCCGGCGGAGAGCUCUUGGCGACCCCUUGCUGAAGAAGAGAGGGAGGAGCAGGACUUGCAGCUAGCCUGAUCUGGCCGACGGAGAUGGAGAUGGUCGUCGCUGGUGGCCAUGACCGACGAUAGC